CCUACGGGUGACAGCAGUGAGGAAUAUUGGUCAAUGGGCGAGAGCCUGAACCAGCCAAGUCGCGUGAAGGAUGACGGCCCUACGGGUUGUAAACUUCUUUUGUCAGGGCGCAAUUGGGUCCACGCGUGGGCUUAGCGAGAGUACCUGAAGAAACAGCAUCGGCUAACUCCGUGCCAGCAGCCGCGGUAAUACGGCGGGUGCGAGCGUUAUCCGGAUUUAUUGGGUUUAAAGGGUGCGUAGGCGGCCUUUUAAGUCAGCGGUGAAAGUCUGUGGCUCAACCAUAGAAUUGCCGUUGAAACUGGGAGGCUUGAGUAUGUUUGAGGCAGGCGGAAUGCGUGGUGUAGCGGUGAAAUGCUUAGAUAGCACGAAGAACUCCGAUUGCGAAGGCAGCUUACUAAACUGCCACUGACAUUGAUGCUCGAAAGUGUGGGUAUCAAACAGGAUUAGAUACCCCAGUAGUC
This 461-nucleotide ribosomal RNA is filed under the name uncultured bacterium. RNAcentral describes it as "partial 16S ribosomal RNA". It matches the Rfam family "Bacterial small subunit ribosomal RNA", at positions 338 to 795 of the family's 1533-position model. The record is from RNAcentral.